Molecule: transfer RNA, 73 nt
Filed under: Aplysia californica (California sea hare)
Lineage: Eukaryota; Metazoa; Mollusca; Gastropoda; Aplysiida; Aplysiidae
Description: tRNA-Val (AAC) (tRNA-Val-AAC-9-1)
Rfam family: tRNA
About the family: Transfer RNA (tRNA) molecules are approximately 80 nucleotides in length.
Source: RNAcentral
GGUUCUGUGGUGUAGUGGUUAUCACGUCUGUUUAACACGCAGAAGGUAGCUAGUUCGAACCUCGCCAGAACCU